Molecule: non-coding RNA, 66 nt
Organism: Providencia rettgeri DSM 1131
Lineage: Bacteria; Pseudomonadati; Pseudomonadota; Gammaproteobacteria; Enterobacterales; Morganellaceae
Source: Rfam
UCACAAACGACAUUGCUCACAUUGCUUCCAGUUUAGCAGGCCAACUUUAUAUGUUGGCCUUUUUUU